RNAcentral lists this non-coding RNA (21 nucleotides) under Caenorhabditis elegans. The record is from RNAcentral. Lineage: Eukaryota; Metazoa; Nematoda; Chromadorea; Rhabditida; Rhabditidae.
UAUGUGGAGUAAUGGUUGAUG